AGGAUUAACGCUGGCGGCGUGCCUGACACAUGCAAGUCGAACGAGGCCGCAAGGCCGAGUGGCGGACGGGUGAGUAACACGUGACCAACCAACCUCGAAGUUGGGAAUAGCUCUGCGAAAGUAGGGGUAAUACCGAAUGUGGCCCAGGGCGGGCAUCCGCCUUGGUCUAAAGAUUCAUCGCUUCGAGACGGGGUCGCGGCCUAUUAGCUUGUUGGUGGGGUAACGGCUCACCAAGGCGAUGAUGGGUAGCUGGUCUGAGAGGACGACCAGCCACACUGGGACUGAGACACGGCCCAGACUCCUACGGGAGGCAGCAGUGAGGAAUCUUCCGCAAUGGGCGAAAGCCUGACGGAGCAACGCCGCGUGUGGGAUGAAGGCUCUAGGGUUGUAAACCACUGUCGGAGGGGACGAUCGUGACGGUACCCUCCAAGAAAGCCCCGGCUAACUACGUGCCAGCAGCCGC
This 463-nucleotide ribosomal RNA is filed under the name uncultured bacterium. Its description in RNAcentral is "SSU rRNA". It matches the Rfam family "Bacterial small subunit ribosomal RNA", at positions 26 to 518 of the family's 1533-position model. The record is from RNAcentral.